Molecule: long non-coding RNA, 480 nt
Organism: Pistacia vera
Lineage: Eukaryota; Viridiplantae; Streptophyta; Magnoliopsida; Sapindales; Anacardiaceae
Exons: 3
Source: RefSeq, a predicted model, not a curated record
CAUGUCAAAUAUGGAAACAAACGGACUUCCCCCAAAAACCAAUUAUCUACUGCCCAAAAUUCUUCCGCCCAAAAACCAAAUUUUUUUCCACUGAAUCGCAGAAUCUCUCUACAACGCUGAUUCAUUCUAAAUCCAACUUCACGGCUCAAGGUGCUCUCUACAACGCUGAUUGUUGUCAAACACUGAUUUUGGUGGGAGAAAAGCUUUGGUUUCGUGGAGCUGUUGCAUUUUAGUUACUUUUUGGAUUUUAUGUUGGAGAGAAGUAGAAGAAUUUCUUAAAAUGCUAUUAAAGAUGAGGAUGAUUUCUGUUCCCUUUGUUAUUCAGAAACAUGCUGAUUUUGCAACCACGGGAAUGUUAUUGGCGAAGCGCUGUAUUCAUGCUACAGGAUCUUGCUACUCCAAUCAGCGAGACUACUACGAAGUUCUUGGUGUUCCUAAAAAUGCGAGCCAGGAUGAGAUAAAAAAGGCGUUUCAUGCCAU